Non-coding RNA from Heterocephalus glaber (naked mole-rat), 329 nucleotides. The record is from Rfam. Lineage: Eukaryota; Metazoa; Chordata; Mammalia; Rodentia; Bathyergidae.
GAGAGAGAGAAAGAUCUGGCUGCAGCACCUGUCAUGCAGGGGUCACCAGGGUUGAUUCAGCUGAUCUGGCUGGCCAGGCAGGUGUUCUCAUCUUACCUCACUGCUCUUGUGCAUCCCUCCCAAAGACCUUCCUGAUGGAGGAGGAGAAUGGUUUUCUUUUUUAAGUGAUUAAGAAUAGCUGUUCUUCCCUGCUAGAACCUCCAAACAUGCUCUGCUCAUGUAAUUUGAUCACUCUUUUCAUAAAUUUUUUAGGGAGACAAAAAUAUCUGGCUUACAGCCAAUCUAUAUCAUUAUCAUUUCAUUAUCAUUUUAUGGAAGAAUGGAUUUUG